GAUGAACGCUGGCGGCGUGCCUAAUACAUGCAAGUCGAGCGAACAGACGAGGAGCUUGCUCCUCUGACGUUAGCGGCGGACGGGUGAGUAACACGUGGAUAACCUACCUAUAAGACUGGGAUAACUUCGGGAAACCGGAGCUAAUACCGGAUAAUAUAUUGAACCGCAUGGUUCAAUAGUGAAAGACGGUUUUGCUGUCACUUAUAGAUGGAUCCGCGCCGCAUUAGCUAGUUGGUAAGGUAACGGCUUACCAAGGCAACGAUGCGUAGCCGACCUGAGAGGGUGAUCGGCCACACUGGAACUGAGACACGGUCCAGACUCCUACGGGAGGCAGCAGUAGGGAAUCUUCCGCAAAGGGCGAAAGCCUGACGGAGCAACGCCGCGUGAGUGAUGAAGGUCUUCGGAUCGUAAAACUCUGUUAUUAGGGAAGAACAAAUGUGUAAGUAACUAUACACGUCUUGACGGUACCUAAUCAGAAAGCCACGGCUAACUACGUG
RNAcentral lists this ribosomal RNA (497 nucleotides) under uncultured bacterium. Its description in RNAcentral is "partial 16S ribosomal RNA". It matches the Rfam family "Bacterial small subunit ribosomal RNA", at positions 28 to 507 of the family's 1533-position model. The record is from RNAcentral.